Molecule: unclassified non-coding RNA, 546 nt
Filed under: Hevea brasiliensis (rubber tree)
Lineage: Eukaryota; Viridiplantae; Streptophyta; Magnoliopsida; Malpighiales; Euphorbiaceae
Source: RNAcentral
AAAAUCUUUCUGCAAUAAAUAAAAUUGAAAGCCAUUCAUCGGCAUCUUCAUUCGACUGAUAUAUUCUCCUAGUGUUCACAUUUCUAACUUGAUCUGUGGGAUUACAAACAAUUUACAUCCAGUAAAAGAGAGGGAGAGAACCAACUUUAAGUGGUAUGCUUUCACGUUUCCUAAGCUGUUAUUUUUCUUUCAUAGAGCUAAACAAAAAAUACAGUGAAUACUUGCUACAUCAAAUAUCUGUCUGUUGAAAGUUUCUAAUGACAGGAGUAUAGGCACACAAAUGAAACUUCUGUAUUUUACCAAGGAAAGAAAUAACUUCUUGCUGUCAGAAUAAUUAGUCCAAUGCAUUUAAGAAGUGUACUCUUCAUUUUCAAGAAUUUGGUUGUGCACUCCAGAUUCUCCUCUGCUCGUCAAAGCUUCCUAUGACAGCGGAUUGCUUGUUAACUCCCAAUUGAUUUGCAAAAUUAUCAUAAUAUGCUACAGGGUCUACAGUUUGCAACAUUUUCACCAAUUUUCCUUGUCUUUCAUCAACCACAAUUUGUCCAU